This 301-nucleotide ribosomal RNA is filed under the name uncultured bacterium. RNAcentral's name for it is "partial 16S ribosomal RNA". It matches the Rfam family "Bacterial small subunit ribosomal RNA", at positions 509 to 807 of the family's 1533-position model. The record is from RNAcentral.
CAGUCGCCGCGGUAAUACAGAGGGUGCGAGCGUUAAUCGGAUUUACUGGGCGUAAAGCGUGCGUAGGCGGCUUUUUAAGUCGGAUGUGAAAUCCCUGAGCUUAACUUAGGAAUUGCAUUCGAUACUGGGAAGCUAGAGUAUGGGAGAGGAUGGUAGAAUUCCAGGUGUAGCGGUGAAAUGCGUAGAGAUCUGGAGGAAUACCGAUGGCGAAGGCAGCCAUCUGGCCUAAUACUGACGCUGAGGUACGAAAGCGUGGGGAGCAAACAGGAUUAGAUACCCCAGUAGUCCCUGUCUCUUAUAC